UACGGGGGGGGCAAGCGUUGUUCGGAAUUACUGGGCGUAAAGGGUUUGUAGGUGGCUUGUUAAGUCAGACGUGAAAUCCCUCAGCUUAACUGGGGAACUGCGUCUGAUACUGGCGAGCUUGAGUGCAGGAGAGGAACGCGGAAUUCCAGGUGUAGCGGUGAAAUGCGUAGAUAUCUGGAGGAACACCGGUGGCGAAGGCAAUCCCCUGGGCCUGCACUGACGCUCAUGCACGAAAGCGUGGGGAGCAAACAGG
Molecule: ribosomal RNA, 253 nt
Filed under: uncultured bacterium
Lineage: Bacteria
Description: partial 16S ribosomal RNA
Rfam family: Bacterial small subunit ribosomal RNA
Source: RNAcentral